Molecule: ribosomal RNA, 450 nt
Filed under: uncultured bacterium
Lineage: Bacteria
Description: partial 16S ribosomal RNA
Rfam family: Bacterial small subunit ribosomal RNA
Source: RNAcentral
GUGGUGAAUUUUGGACAAUGGGCGCAAGCCUGAUCCAGCAAUACCGCGUGCAGGAAGAAGGCCUUCGGGUUGUAAACUGCUUUUGUACGGAACGAAACGGUCCUGGCUAAUAUCCGGGGCUAAUGACGGUACCGUAAGAAUAAGCACCGGCUAACUACGUGCCAGCAGCCGCGGUAAUACGUAGGGUGCGAGCGUUAAUCGGAAUUACUGGUCGUAAAGCGUGCGCAGGCGGUGCUGUAAGACAGGCGUGAAAUCCCCGGGCUCAACCUGGGAAUUGCGCUUGUGACUGCAGUGCUGGAGUGCGGCAGAGGGGGAUGGAAUUCCGCGUGUAGCAGUGAAAUGCGUAGAUAUGCGGAGGAACACCGAUGGCGAAGGCAAUCCCCUGGGCCUGCACUGACGCUCAUGCACGAAAGCGUGGGGAGCAAACAGGAUUAGAAACCCCUGUAGUCC